Molecule: ribosomal RNA, 278 nt
Filed under: Miturga gilva
Lineage: Eukaryota; Metazoa; Arthropoda; Arachnida; Araneae; Miturgidae
Description: partial 12S ribosomal RNA
Source: RNAcentral
AUAAACCUUUUUAUUUUGGCGGCUUUUCAUCUAAUUAGAGGAACUUGUCAACUAAUCGAUAAUCCACGAUAACUUUCACUUUAAUUAAAAAGUUUAUAUAUCGCCAUCUCAAGAAUUACUUUUAAAAUAUACUCUUAAUAAUAAAUAAAAAGUUAGGUCAAGGUGUAACCUAUAUUAAAGAUAUAAAUGAGUUACAUUAAAUUUAAUUUAAGAAUUUGUAUUAUAUACAAUAUAAUGAAAAAGGAUUUAAAAGUAAUUAUUUUAUAAUAUUAAUAAUA